GACCUCGCCGAGGUCGCCCUCUUGCAGUUGCCUAGCCCGGAGAAGGUCGUCUUUGUCUCCAUAGUCGCCGUCAUCAUGUCCUUCACCUAAUCCUUCAUCGUGCUCUUCCCGAGUGCCUUAACCUGCGCGUGAGGAGAGACCGGCGGUGGCGUGUGUCGGCCAGCGGCGGAGCGAAGGAGCCGCAGGCGGUGACCUGUGUGUAAGGAGAGAUCAAUGGGCGGCAGGUGCGGGGUUGACGCGGAUGUGGAUAAAGAAGCAAGGGAGCGGUGACGAUGGAGGAGGAGGUAGGAGCGUGUGGCAUAGGAGUGUCUAGCAGGCGUCGGUCGCGGGUUUAGAAUUUCGUCCGGCCCCUCAAAUUGGUAAUGUACCUUUGUCUUGAUUUAUUAGUCCUCUUUAUAUUAUCAUAUUUUUACUAUGAUUCUAGCCAAUAAAAUAUAAAUUAUUUUGUCAGAAAAAAUAAUAAUAUUGUCAGUGUUGAACGAUAUAAUUUUCCGUGAGGAAGAGGAUGUCAUAAUUUAAAAAAUGAGGCAUUAUUGCCUCAGGUUCUACUGUCAGUAGUAGUUAAAGCACUGUGCAUGAACGCACGCUAAUAAUGUCGGCCUUAGGCUGGCCAUAGUGAGAGUAACUCAGGUAGUAUCAUGUUCUUGGAACUAGCAAACAUGCUGAUGUGGCAGACAAUUAAAGAAGAGAGGAGGUUAUAGUAACAUAGGCAGAUACCAUAACGUUCAUGGAGUGCAGGGUGGAUGCGACGGUGGUGGUGGCGGCGAGGAGGCAGAGGCAUUCGUCGUUGACGGGGCAGGCGGUGAGCUGGCCGCGGCGACUUGAAUAUCGCACCGCGAACCUCGCGCCGGCUGGCUGGGUGCUCCCCGCGCCGGCACCUGCUCUGGGAAGAGCGGGAGUGAUGGUGGGGAAGUGGCCGCCGCGUCCCCGGGUGCCCGCCGCCCUCCCCGCGCACAUGGUCGACAUCAGCCCCCCAGCGCUGAAGGAGUAGGAGGGGAUGUGGAGGUCCUCAAAAUCCAUCGACUUGGCUUGCGUUGGGCACAAAGUCAAAGAAUAAGGGUGGUGGCAAGAAAAAGAAAGGUUUGCUUGGUUGCUGCUCUGUUUGCCUGUUCUUGAUACAUGAGUUCUUUUCCUGAUAGCUAGACUGGUUUACAUCUGUCUCAAGUUCCUUGAACUCACAGAGCUUCUUUUAUCUUUUAAUAGGCAAGAAAGGAGAUGCAGCAGAGCCCGUAUGGAGGUUUCUCAGGACGCACCAAGCCAGGAAUAAUUCGUUUUUUUCUUCUUCUUUGAAUUGCUUUUGUUACGUUUGUACCUGCUCCUUUGCUGCAUCUGAUUGUGUUAUAUUACAUUCAGCUGCGGGAAUUUGAGUACCUUCUUUUGAGUGUCUAAUGAAAAUGAUCGAUCCUGCCACACAUCACGUGGAACACAAGCCUGAUAAUUAUGUAU
RNAcentral lists this long non-coding RNA (1446 nucleotides) under Hordeum vulgare. RNAcentral's name for it is "long non-coding RNA (HVUL_LNC007701)". Lineage: Eukaryota; Viridiplantae; Streptophyta; Magnoliopsida; Poales; Poaceae. The record is from RNAcentral.